This 777-nucleotide ribosomal RNA is filed under the name uncultured bacterium. RNAcentral describes it as "bacterial SSU rRNA". It matches the Rfam family "Bacterial small subunit ribosomal RNA", at positions 105 to 895 of the family's 1533-position model. The record is from RNAcentral.
GGUGAGUAACGCGUAGGUAACCUGCCGACGGGAGGGGGAUAACCACGAGAAAUCGGGGAUAAUACCGCAUGAGGCUUCUUGAGUAUAUUAAGAAGUGAAAGCCUCGCAAGAGGCGCCUGUUGAGGGGCCCGCGUUCGAUUAGCUUGUUGGUGGGGUAAUGGCCUACCAAGGCGAAGAUCGAUAGCUGGUCUGAGAGGAUGAUCAGCCACACUGGGACUGAGAUACGGCCCAGACUCCUACGGGAGGCAGCAGCAAGGAAUCUUGCGCAAUGGGCGAAAGCCUGACGCAGCAACGCCGCGUGAGUGAAGAAGGCCUUCGGGUCGUAAAGCUCUUUUGUCAGGGAAGAGAACGGACGGUACCUGACGAAUGAGCCUCGGCUAACUACGUGCCAGCAGCCGCGGUAAAACGUAGGAGGCGAGCGUUAUCCGGAAUUACUGGGCGUAAAGGGCUUGUAGGCGGCUAAUCAAGUCAUGUGUGAUAUCUCCCGGCUCAACUGGCAGGUGACAUGUGAAACUGCUUUGGCUUGAGUGCAGCAUGGGAAAGUGGAACUCCCGGUGUAGUGGUGACGUGCGUAGAUGUCGGGAGGAACACCAGUGGCGAAGGCGGCUUUCUGGGCUGUAACUGACGCUGAGGAGCGAAAGCAUGGGAGCAAACCGGAUUAGAUACCCUGGUAGUCGACGCCGUAAACGAUGGAUACUAGGUAUGGGGAGUAUCGACCCUCUCUGUGCCGACGCUAACGCUAUAAGUAUCCCGCAUGGGACUACGAGCCGUAAGGCU